UACGUAGGGGGCUAGCGUUGUCCGGAUUUAUUGGGCGUAAAGAGCGUGUAGGCGGCCAGGUAGGUCUGCUGUGAAAACUCGAGGCUUAACCUCGAGAUGUCGGCGGAAACCAUCUGGCUAGAGUCCGGAAGAGGAGAGUGGAAUUCCUGGUGUAGCGGUGAAAUGCGCAGAUAUCAGGAGGAACACCGGUGGCGAAGGCGGGUCUCUGGGCCGAUAUUGACGCUGAGGAGCGAAAGCGUGGGGAGCGAACAGG
Molecule: ribosomal RNA, 253 nt
Filed under: uncultured bacterium
Lineage: Bacteria
Description: partial 16S ribosomal RNA
Rfam family: Bacterial small subunit ribosomal RNA
Source: RNAcentral